UAAUACCGCAUAUGCUCUACGGAGGAAAGCCGGGGAUCCGCAAGGACCUGGCGCUAUGGGAGCGGCCGAUGUCCGAUUAGCUAGUUGGUGAGGUAAAGGCUCACCAAGGCGACGAUCGGUAGCUGGUCUGAGAGGAUGAUCAGCCACACUGGGACUGAGACACGGCCCAGACUCCUACGGGAGGCAGCAGUGGGGAAUUUUGGACAAUGGGGGCAACCCUGAUCCAGCCAUGCCGCGUGCGGGAAGAAGGCCUUCGGGUUGUAAACCGCUUUUAGUCGGGAAGAAAAGGGCGAGGCUAAUACCUUCGUCACUUGACGGUACCGGCGGAAUAAGCACCGGCUAACUACGUGCCAGCAGCCGCGGUAAUACGUAGGGUGCGAGCGUUAAUCGGAAUUACUGGGCGUAAAGCGUGCGUAGGCGGUUCGUUAAGUUCGUUGUGAAAGCCCCGGGCUCAACCUGGGAACUGCAAUGGAAACUGGCGGGCUAGAGUAUGGC
This 495-nucleotide ribosomal RNA is filed under the name uncultured Burkholderia sp. RNAcentral describes it as "bacterial SSU rRNA". It matches the Rfam family "Bacterial small subunit ribosomal RNA", at positions 164 to 652 of the family's 1533-position model. The record is from RNAcentral. Lineage: Bacteria; Pseudomonadati; Pseudomonadota; Betaproteobacteria; Burkholderiales; Burkholderiaceae.